GGAUGGGUGUCCGAGCGGUCUAAGGAGACGGUCUUGAAAACCGUUGUAGGGAAACCUACCGCGAGUUCGAAUCUCGCCCCAUCCGCGA
Molecule: transfer RNA, 88 nt
Filed under: Gardnerella vaginalis JCP8481A
Lineage: Bacteria; Bacillati; Actinomycetota; Actinomycetes; Bifidobacteriales; Bifidobacteriaceae
Also listed under: 1 other name
Description: tRNA-Ser
Rfam family: tRNA
About the family: Transfer RNA (tRNA) molecules are approximately 80 nucleotides in length.
Source: RNAcentral